This 497-nucleotide ribosomal RNA is filed under the name uncultured bacterium. RNAcentral describes it as "partial 16S ribosomal RNA". It matches the Rfam family "Bacterial small subunit ribosomal RNA", at positions 28 to 507 of the family's 1533-position model. The record is from RNAcentral.
GAUGAACGCUGGCGGCGUGCCUAAUACAUGCAAGUCGAGCGAACGGACGAGAAGCUUGCUUCUCUGAUGUUAGCGGCGGACGGGUGAGUAACACGUGGAUAACCUACCUAUAAGACUGGGAUAACUUCGGGAAACCGGAGCUAAUACCGGAUAAUAUUUUGAACCGCAUGGUUCAAAAGUGAAAGACGGUCUUGCUGUCACUUAUAGAUGGAUCCGCGCUGCAUUAGCUAGUUGGUAAGGUAACGGCUUACCAAGGCAACGAUGCAUAGCCGACCUGAGAGGGUGAUCGGCCACACUGGAACUGAGACACGGUCCAGACUCCUACGGGAGGCAGCAGUAGGGAAUCUUCCGCAAAGGGCGAAAGCCUGACGGAGCAACGCCGCGUGAGUGAUGAAGGUCUUCGGAUCGUAAAACUCUGUUAUUAGGGAAGAACAUAUGUGUAAGUAACUGUGCACAUCUUGACGGUACCUGAUCAGAAAGCCACGGCUAACUACGUG